GCCCGAAUAGCUCAGAUGGUUAGAGCACACCGCUGAUAACGGUGAGGUCUCUGGUUCGAGUCCGGAUUCGGGCA
This 74-nucleotide transfer RNA is filed under the name Synechococcus phage S-SKS1. It matches the Rfam family "tRNA". Rfam says of the family: Transfer RNA (tRNA) molecules are approximately 80 nucleotides in length. Their secondary structure includes four short double-helical elements and three loops (D, anti-codon, and T loops). Lineage: Duplodnaviria; Heunggongvirae; Uroviricota; Caudoviricetes. The record is from Rfam by way of RNAcentral.